GUAUUAGGGGUUGCACUGCAGGACAUUCCUAAAGAAAUCAUCAUCUAAACAGAUUAUAUAACAGAGUAUAAUUACAUGUCAGGAGAAGCUGAAAGGGUUUGGCGACUUGCCCCAUCAUGCUGUACACAUUUUCUCUGCUAACUCUGCUGCUUUGUAAAUAAUGGGGUUCCACUGUAAAUCAAAUAAAAAUAUAUGCCUCAACAUCUUCAUCUCCGGACCCUUU
This 223-nucleotide unclassified non-coding RNA is filed under the name Hevea brasiliensis (rubber tree). The record is from RNAcentral. Lineage: Eukaryota; Viridiplantae; Streptophyta; Magnoliopsida; Malpighiales; Euphorbiaceae.